GUCACGGGCUUAAAAUCUGAUCACCUCAACCCGUGCGGCACUUAGUCGCUUUUCCCGCAAAAGUCGCUAAGUAAGCCUUAAGACAACCGAAAGGAAGGCUAAGGAACCAAGUGUGCAACAAGGAAGUUUUUAGAGAGAGAGAGAGUUUGGGAGAAUGCCUUUGAUUUCUCAAAACUUGGAUGCUUUACAAUGAGGGGGUUGCUCCCUUUAUAUACAAUUCAAUUGUCCUAAAUGUUCCUACAAAUCUAGAGCAAUCUAUGUACAUGGAUCUUCCUAGAAGCUUCCGCCAUAUUCUAGAAUCCUCCACAUCCUUCCACCAUGUUCUAGGAUCUUCCAUAUCCUUCUAGCAUGUGGUAGAGAUUUCUAGAGUUAUCUCCAAGCUUCCGGAAGUUUCAUGAAAGGCCUAGAAGGUUCUAGGCUUUGUUGGGAACUUUGGCCCUCCAUGGGCCUAAUUCUUGGGUCAAUUGGGUGGGCUUGUAACAUUCUCCUCCCCCAUCCAUUUGGCGACGCCCUCGUCGCCAUCCUCGGAAUUUGGCGAUCCCGUACCUGAAUGGCCAUAAGGACUCUCCCUUGGAUGCCUUGUCGUCCAGGACUCGAUCCAUGAACACUAGUUUGUCCUCCCCCCGUAUUGUCCCAUGAAUCCUUUGGCUUGGAAUGGAGAGACUUCUUUCUUCCGCCGAUUCUUGCCCACCUUCGACUCCCUCCCACCUCUUCUUUCUCUUUUGGUGGCCGCCUUGGCCCAUGUCGGCCAAUGGCCGCCCUUGGGCGACUCAGAAGCUCCCCCGCUCUUGGGACAUGGCGUCAGGAAUCUUGGCACUCGACUUUGCUCCAUGGGAAGGAUCCUCCUUAGAGAGUUGCAUGGCGGACAAGGUCUUGGACUUCGAUGCCUCCCUUGCCAAUGGUACCAUACAUGCACUUCCUUCGCCCAUGAUGCACAUGGUCUGGCGAAGGGGAUGGGCAUGCCCGCACCCCAUCCAGACUCCAUCCCCAACACGAUGGGGUAAUCGUCCAUCGUACCCCACCUUGAAGUCCACUUGGCACACCAUUCCCUUUUGCCCCUAUGGUGUACCCGCACGCCCCGAGCAACUCCGUAUAAGGCCGUGCCACCGUGUUGACGGCCCUUACCCAUCCUGUUCUCCUUGAGUUGGAGGCCUAACCGCUUGGCUCCUUGGCUUCAAUAAUUGUGAGAAUCCGCCGUAUCGAUUAAUGCCACGAGUGGUAAAGCCGCGUACCUUUGCUCCACAUCAGCGCCCCUUCCUUGGCGCCUCGGUCUUGCCCACCUGGGCCUUGAUUGCCUCGGCACGCAAGAUCCCCCCCUUUGCCUUCCUCUUGGUGGGGCUCUUCCUCGUCAUCUCGGAUAAGGGGCCAUAUAGUUCGCUCUCUUUUUUGGGCAAUCCCUAGCGAAAUGAUUAUACCGACGCGUGCGCAUAAGAAACAUGAGAGCUUAGGCUUGUCGCCAUUCCUCCGACCCUUGUCAAACCGGUUUUGCCUUGGAGAGGAUGGCUUGGAAAUUCCCUCAUUGUCCCCCCCCUCCCCCACCUAUUGUCAUGGUUAGACAUUCAAACUUGGGCAUUAAAGAGAGGACUCACCUUCUGGUAAGUCUAACCAAAGACUCCACAAUUGAGAUGGGCCGUUGCAAGGUCCUAUUGGUCCUCGUCGUUGCACCUCGAGUUUGGCCCAAGAUUGAAUCCAUCAAUGAAGUGAAAGAGUCCUUCUCGGUCAUGUCUGGAAUUUCUAGCAAAAGCUCGGAGAACUCUUUCACAUAGUUUCCGAAUAGUUGCUUGUAUUGGAGAGAACGGCCGUAGUUUUUUGCCUAGCUGCCAUGCUCCCCGAAUUUAAUCGGGAUAGAAUUGCCGCUUGAUCUCCCUUUUAAAAUCUUCCCAUGGGUCGCUAUGGUGGCAAGUCCCACGUUCCAUAUCCCGCUGUGUCGCCCGCCUCCACCCACAGCGUGGCCGCAUCCGAGAGGAAGAGAGGGGCCGUUUUGAUCUUUUUAUUUUCGCUCAUUAAUACCCGUGGCCUCAAAAUAUUGAUCCAAGCUCCACAAAAAGUUGUCCAACUCUCUCGCAUUCCUCGACCCCUUGUAACUCUCCUCUCCUCGGGUCUAGGAAUGUCGACUUUAAGCGAAGGAGAGGAAGAAAUGUUACUUGCGUCACCGCGGCCAUCUUACCAAGCGACCAAUCCCAAACACCCUUGACUUCCCGUGAUCUCCUCCUUUAUUGGCGUGCGAUCUCGUCUUGGAGAGAGUCUUUAAGAGCAUUCCAUUUUUGCGCCUUCCAUGAUUCGGCCAUCGAGUUGAGGAUCCCUCGGAUCUCCACUGAAACUCCUCAAUGUCCACCCUCGAGUCCAUCGAGGCGUUGAUCCAUUUCCACACAACAACUUUGUCCCGAUCGUCGGCCAUGGCAAAACUCCACCCGUCGGAGUCUUGCCUCCAAGGAAGCCAUGAUGUCGCGGACCGUCCCGUCUUCCCUUUUCCUGGUUGGAGGGAGGUAUCCCCAUCAUAAUCGCCUCAUGCUCAAUCAUAUCGAAGUUUGUUGGCCAUCGCUUAGCCUUCUCGACCAAAGCUCUGAUACCACUUGUCACGGGCUUAAAAUCUGAUCACCUCAACCCGUGCGGCACUUAGUCGCUUUUCCCGCAAAGUCGCUAAGUAAGCCUUAAGACAACGAAAGGAAGGCUAAGGAACCAAGUGUGCAACAAGGAAGUUUUUAGAGAGAGAGAGAGUUUGGGAGAAUGCCUUUGAUUUCUCAAAACUUGGAUGCUUUACAAUGAGGGGGUUGCUCCCUUUAUAUACAAUUCAAUUGUCCUAAAUGUUCUACAAAUAUUCUAAACCAAAAUCUAGAGCAAUCUAUGUACAUGGAUCUUCCUAGAAGCUUCCGCCAUAUUCUAGAAUCCUCCACAUCCUUCCACCAUGUUCUAGGAUCUUCCAUAUCCUUCUAGCAUGUGGUAGAGAUUUCUAGAGUUAUCUCCAAGCUUCCGGAAGUUUCAUGAAAGGCCUAGAAGGUUCUAGGCUUUGUUGGGAACUUUGGCCCUCCAUGGGCCUAAUUCUUGGGUCAAUUGGGUGGGCUUGUAACAU
This 3070-nucleotide long non-coding RNA is filed under the name Actinidia chinensis (golden kiwifruit). RNAcentral's name for it is "long non-coding RNA (ACHI_LNC001681)". The record is from RNAcentral. Lineage: Eukaryota; Viridiplantae; Streptophyta; Magnoliopsida; Ericales; Actinidiaceae.